GCUAUGUCUCUCCUCAAAACAAACUCUUCAUCACAAACAUGAUAAUCUAGUUACUUUUAUCUCUCUAUAUCAUCUCUCUUUCACGCCUUUCCUCUACAAUUCACCCAUCAGUACCCCAAGCUUAUAUCCCUCUCCCUCUCUCUCACACAAUACAGAAACAACACAAAACGACACCCAUCUCACUCAUUCCAAAAAUUGGCGAGGCCUCACACCCCUCCGUCGAUGACCAAUCGACGCUGUCCGCCGCCACUCCAGGCAGUCAGCUCCUCCGUCGGCAGCGCUGUUUCUCACAACCGGCAAGAAAUUUUCAGAAUUUGAAAUUGAAGAGAAACAAGGGGUAGCUUCUAAAGCUUUAAAGAUCGAAGCUUUCAAAGGGAGUAUCAUUCAACAAGUUGCAGCAAAUUUUCAAAAUAAAUUAUUUCAGAUUCGGCCAGUGAACUAAAGUGAAUGUAUGAAAGUAUGUCAUGGAAUUGAAUGCAGAGACUUUCAAAAAUUGUGGAUA
This is a non-coding RNA of Salvia hispanica, 502 nucleotides long. Lineage: Eukaryota; Viridiplantae; Streptophyta; Magnoliopsida; Lamiales; Lamiaceae. The record is from RefSeq and is a predicted model, not a curated record.